RNAcentral lists this ribosomal RNA (253 nucleotides) under uncultured bacterium. Its description in RNAcentral is "partial 16S ribosomal RNA". It matches the Rfam family "Bacterial small subunit ribosomal RNA", at positions 524 to 776 of the family's 1533-position model. The record is from RNAcentral.
CACGUAGGGCGCAAGCGUUGUCCGGAAUUAUUGGGCGUAAAGAGCUCGUAGGUGGUUUGCUGCGUCCGCUGUGAAAACCCAAGGCUUAACCUUGGGCUUGCAGUGGAUACGGGCAGACUAGAGGUAGGUAGGGGAGAAUGGAAUUCCCGGUGUAGCGGUGAAAUGCGCAGAUAUCGGGAAGAACACCCGUGGCGAAGGCGGCUCUCUGGGACGGUACUGACGCUGAGACGCGAAAGCGUGGGGAGCGAACAGG